Molecule: non-coding RNA, 204 nt
Organism: Hypoxylon sp. FL1150
Lineage: Eukaryota; Fungi; Ascomycota; Sordariomycetes; Xylariales; Hypoxylaceae
Source: the annotation of a GenBank genome assembly
GCUGGGGUGGUCUAGUGGUAUGAUACCGGGACAAGCAGGUCUGGCGGGUAAUUCACUAGAUCUCCAGACCGCGGAUGACAAGACACCACAUUUCGAAAACCAGAAACCAUCGUGGAUGCCAGUCACAGCGAAGAGGGAUCUAGUGGAUUGCCCCCCAGUGUCCGGCAGGCCCGGAGGUCGCCAGUUCGAAUCUGGCCCUCGGCA